AGAUCGAACGCUGGCGGAAUGCUUUACACAUGCAAGUCGAACGGCAGCACGGGGGUAACCCUGGUGGCGAGUGGCGAACGGGUGAGUAAUACAUCGGAACGUGCCCAGUCGUGGGGGAUAACGUAGCGAAAGCUACGCUAAUACCGCAUACGAACUCUGGUUGAAAGCGGGGGACUCGCAAGAGCCUCGCGCGAUUGGAGCGGCCGAUGGCAGAUUAGGUAGUUGGUGGGGUAAAGGCUCACCAAGCCUGCGAUCUGUAGCUGGUCUGAGAGGACGACCAGCCACACUGGGACUGAGACACGGCCCAGACUCCUACGGGAGCAGCAGUGGGGAAUUUUGGGACAAGUGGGCGCAAGCCUGAUCCAGCCAUUCCGCGUGCGAGGAUGAAGGCCCGUCGGGUUAGUAAACUGUCUUUUAGGAACGGUAACGAAAAGCCGCUCUACUAAUACGAGGCGUCAGUGACGGUACCGU
Molecule: ribosomal RNA, 471 nt
Filed under: uncultured soil bacterium
Lineage: Bacteria
Description: bacterial SSU rRNA
Rfam family: Bacterial small subunit ribosomal RNA
Source: RNAcentral